AGAGUUUGAUCAUGGCUCAGAUUGAACGCUGGCGGAAUGCUUUACACAUGCAAGUCGAACGGCAGCACGGACUUCGGUCUGGUGGCGAGUGGCGAACGGGUGAGUAAUAUAUCGGAACAUAUCCAAUAAUGGGGGAUAACUAAUCGAAAGGUUGGCUAAUACCGCAUACGCCCUACGGGGGAAAGCUGGGGACCUUCGGGCCUGGCGUUAAUGGAGCGGCCGAUAUCUGAUUAGCUAGUUGGUGAGGUAAAGGCUCACCAAGGCGACGAUCAGUAGCUGGUCUGAGAGGACGACCAGCCACACUGGAACUGAGACACGGUCCAGACUCCUACGGGAGGCAGCAGUGGGGAAUUUUGGACAAUGGGCGAAAGCCUGAUCCAGCCAUUCCGCGUGAGUGAAGAAGGCCUUCGGGUUGUAAAGCUCUUUCGCAAGGGAAGAAAGAUUACUCUCUAACAUAGAGUGAUUAUGACGGUACCUUGAUAAGAAGCACCGGCUAACUACGUGCCAGCAGCCGCGGUAAUACGUAGGGUGCGAGCGUUAAUCGGAAUUACUGGGCGUAAAGCGUGCGCAGGCGGUUUUGUAAGUCAGAUGUGAAAUCCCCGAGCUCAACUUGGGAACUGCGUUUGAAACUACAAGACUAGAAUAUGUCAGAGGGGGGUAGAAUUCCACGUGUAGCAGUGAAAUGCGUAGAGAUGUGGAGGAAUACCAAUGGCGAAGGCAGCCCCCUGGGAUAAUAUUGACGCUCAUGCACGAAAGCGUGGGGAGCAAACAGGAUUAGAUACCCCGGUAGUCC
Molecule: ribosomal RNA, 793 nt
Filed under: uncultured bacterium
Lineage: Bacteria
Description: bacterial SSU rRNA
Rfam family: Bacterial small subunit ribosomal RNA
Source: RNAcentral